GCCUGUGUGGCUCAGUCAGUUGAGCAUCUGACUUCAAUUCAGGUCAUGAUCUCACAGUUCGUGGGUUUGAACCCCACAUCAGGCU
RNAcentral lists this transfer RNA (85 nucleotides) under Felis catus (domestic cat). It matches the Rfam family "tRNA". Rfam says of the family: Transfer RNA (tRNA) molecules are approximately 80 nucleotides in length. Their secondary structure includes four short double-helical elements and three loops (D, anti-codon, and T loops). Further hydrogen bonds mediate the characteristic L-shaped molecular structure. tRNAs have two regions of fundamental functional importance: the anti-codon, which is responsible for specific mRNA codon recognition, and the 3' end, to which the tRNAs corresponding amino acid is attached (by aminoacyl-tRNA synthetases). tRNAs cope with the degeneracy of the genetic code in two manners: having more than one tRNA (with a specific anti-codon) for a particular amino acid; and 'wobble' base-pairing, i.e. permitting non-standard base-pairing at the 3rd anti-codon position. The record is from Rfam by way of RNAcentral. Lineage: Eukaryota; Metazoa; Chordata; Mammalia; Carnivora; Felidae.